This 200-nucleotide long non-coding RNA is filed under the name Lathyrus oleraceus (garden pea). Its description in RNAcentral is "Pisum sativum (pea) long non-coding RNA (PSAT_LNC000181)". Lineage: Eukaryota; Viridiplantae; Streptophyta; Magnoliopsida; Fabales; Fabaceae. The record is from RNAcentral.
UCUUUUUUUUUUCUUUUUCUUUUUCUUUUUCUUUUUCUUUUUCUUUUUCUUUUUCUUUUCUUUCUUGAUCAUAUUUUUCUCUCAUUUUUCUUUGAUCUUCUCUCACCUCACUAGGAUUUAACGGUACAAGAUUGAUCUUUUGAUCAUGAUACAUAAAAGAGUACUUAUUGGAGUACCCAUCAUGAUUGGCUUUUCUAUCA